GAGCAUGGGCCCAGCUAGAGACCCUGAUGACCGGCCGUGAACGAAGGUCCACAGACUUGGAAAGCGUGUAUAGGGCAACCUAUCAGGGGUUCAAAUCCCCUAUCCUCCGCCA
This 112-nucleotide transfer RNA is filed under the name Nonomuraea rubra. Its description in RNAcentral is "tRNA-Ser". Lineage: Bacteria; Bacillati; Actinomycetota; Actinomycetes; Streptosporangiales; Streptosporangiaceae. The record is from RNAcentral.